AUUUUAGAUGUGUUUUGUGUGUUUUUCGCGGCUGAAAACCAAUGCUGCCACUCAGUGGGCGUGACCGCAGUCGUAACGGUCGACGGUGACGUCACAUGCAUACCCUCUGGUUCAAAGUUAUCUGGUUUCAUGGAACCUUUUUUCUGAAUUCCGUGUUUUAAAUGUUACAAAUGUUCAGAGAACAUUCCGUUUCCAUAAUGUGUGAAUGGAAUGUUCUGUUAACAUUCCGUUAAAAAGUUUAGAGAACAUUAAGAAAUAACAUUUUCACAAUGUAAUGGGAACGUUAGCAAAAUGUUUUUAGAGCAUAUUUUGUUUGCUGCAUUUGAUAUUACUGUAAUUCUUAUUUCUGGUUGAAUUCACUGCAUUUGAAGCCUUUGUAAAAAUGCUGAUAGAGACAAUAAAGCACCAGGUUCUUCAGACGUGUCUGGUUUCUCCGAAGCUCCACACACCCUGCAGACAGAGAAAGAACAAAUCACCAUCAUGAUGUGACAUCCUUGAUCUAAAACGAUGUUUCUGUCCUCGGCAAAGCCAUUUACUCUCCGUCAACAAAUACUCCUGCACUUCUCUCUCUUAAGGUGCAAACUAAGGCUUUCUGAUCCCUUUCCAUUUCUGUUGGAUGUUGUGAUCGAGGGGACAGAAUCUGGAUCCCCCGCUGGCGUUGGCUCUUUCAGCCGGACCUGAACCCCCCGCCUCGGCUGCUCAAUUACACCGCAGGCGUCUCCAUCCGCUCCUCCAAUUACCACACCGGCCCCUUUAUUUACAACCACGUGCAUACGUGAAGACAAAUUGCCUCGAGAUCACUCGGGCCUGCUACAAUUUGGACAUUUCUUCUGCCGAGAUGAAGCCGCUGUUGAAUUAGACGCUCAGGCUGUGUUCAGAAUCACAUGCUUACAUACUACACACUGUGUACUGUAGUAUGAACACUUUUCUCUAGGUGUGAAUAUACACUCUUAAGCCAGGGUUCACACUGUAUGAUUACAAUAGACCUGUUGCUUCUCAGACUGGUGGCUAGCAAACAAAUACAAUGUUCAUUUUGAUCAUGGCUUUAUUUAAAGGCGCAAUAUGUAAUAUUUUUGGAUUAAAAUAUCCAAAAACCACUAGAA
Molecule: long non-coding RNA, 1103 nt
Organism: Megalobrama amblycephala (Wuchang bream)
Lineage: Eukaryota; Metazoa; Chordata; Actinopteri; Cypriniformes; Xenocyprididae
Exons: 2
Source: RefSeq, a predicted model, not a curated record